GACGAACGCUGGCGGCGUGCUUAACACAUGCAAGUCGAGCGGUAAGGCCCUUUCGGGGGUACACGAGCGGCGAACGGGUGAGUAACACGUGGGUGACCUGCCCUCAGCUCUGGGAUAAGCCUGGGAAACUGGGUCUAAUACUGGAUAUGACUCCACGGUGCAUGUCGUGGGGUGGAAAGCCUUGUGCGGCUGAGGAUGGGCCCGCGGCCUAUCAGCUUGUUGGUGGGGUGANGGCCUACCAAGGCGACGACGGGUAGCCGGCCUGAGAGGGCGACCGGCCACACUGGGACUGAGACACGGCCCAGACUUCUACGGGAGGCAGCAGUGGGGAAUCUUGCGCAAUGGGCGAAAGCCUGACGCAGCGACG
Molecule: ribosomal RNA, 367 nt
Filed under: uncultured bacterium
Lineage: Bacteria
Description: bacterial SSU rRNA
Rfam family: Bacterial small subunit ribosomal RNA
Source: RNAcentral